Molecule: small RNA, 738 nt
Filed under: Drosophila pseudoobscura pseudoobscura
Lineage: Eukaryota; Metazoa; Arthropoda; Insecta; Diptera; Drosophilidae
Description: GA31352
Source: RNAcentral
UUUCAGCUCUGAGCAGCCGCAUCUAUCGGAAGUCCCUCCGCCUCAGUCGCACUUCUCUGGGCUUCUGUCCAAAGCUGUUGGAUGGUCCUUGUCGACUAGUCGACACAUCAGUCCUCCGACUGAAGACUCUGAGGCAGUAGACCAGUCCCAUUCAAUGCCAAGAAUCUUGGAAACAACUUCUUGAAGGGCCGACGAUUGUAGAAAGACACAUAGUCCACAUAGAGACGGGACAGCAAGUGCCUUCGGAAGAUGGGAUCGAUGAAAGGAGUUUGUGUAUUCAUUCGUCUGGCGUUCAAGCCAGUUAGUGCCGUUGAAGCCAGUGCAAGACAGUAGUGGGGUUUCGUAGAAGGCACCAAAAAUGCCAAUCUGUCCUGAGCGCACGAGUGAGGACAGGGAACGAGGCACUCUGCUGCGGGAUAUCCCGACGAGGCCUUGUUUCACGAAUACCUCCCACUCCAGCUAGGCGUACAGGCUAUCAGUGAGAAAAACAAAACCACCAGACGAAUGCCGACGGAGCGAUUCCCUAUGCCACACGAUACAUUUAUUCCUUUAACAAAACAGGAAAACUUGCUGUGGAGGCAGAAGAAGUCUUAUGAUUUGCUUGAUUAUGCUACGUAAUCAAAUUCAGAAAAAUGCAGAAUUUAUUAUUAGGAAUAAGCAUGUAUUUUUACAACUUAGCAUACGAUUUUUAAGUCUACGGUAUGUCAAUCAGAUCAAUAUAAAAAAAUGCAUACGUUA